CACGCCGUAAACGAUGGAUACUAGCUGUUGGGAGCAAUUUCAGUGGUUAAGCGAAAGUGAUAAGUAUCCCACCUGGGGAGUACGGGCGCAAGCCUGAAACUCAAAGGAAUUGACGGGGGCCCGCACAAGCGGUGGAGCAUGUGGUUUAAUUCGAUGAUACGCGAGGAACCUUACCAAGGCUUAAAUGGGAAUUGACCGGCGUGGAAACAUGCUUUUCGCAAGACAAUUUUCAAGGUGC
Molecule: ribosomal RNA, 238 nt
Filed under: uncultured bacterium
Lineage: Bacteria
Description: partial 16S ribosomal RNA
Rfam family: Bacterial small subunit ribosomal RNA
Source: RNAcentral